GGUCAAGUGAAGAAGCGCAUACGGUGGAUGCCUUGGCAGUCAGAGGCGAUGAAAGACGUGGUAGCCUGCGAUAAGCUUUGGGGAGUCGGCAAACAGACUGUGAUCCAGAGAUCUCUGAAUGGGGGAACCCACUCAGCACAAGCUGAGUAUCUUGUACUGAAUACAUAGGUGCAAGAGGCGAACCAGGGGAACUGAAACAUCUAAGUACCCUGAGGAAAAGAAAUCAACCG
RNAcentral lists this ribosomal RNA (230 nucleotides) under Pseudomonas putida. RNAcentral describes it as "partial 23S ribosomal RNA". It matches the Rfam family "Bacterial large subunit ribosomal RNA", at positions 1 to 231 of the family's 2925-position model. The record is from RNAcentral. Lineage: Bacteria; Pseudomonadati; Pseudomonadota; Gammaproteobacteria; Pseudomonadales; Pseudomonadaceae.